GACGAACGCUGGCGGCGUGCCUAAUACAUGCAAGUAGAACGCACAGUUUAUACCGUAGCUUGCUACACCAUAGACUGUGAGUUGCGAACGGGUGAGUAACGCGUAGGUAACCUGCCUGGUAGCGGGGGAUAACUAUUGGAAACGAUAGCUAAUACCGCAUAAUAUUGAUUAUUGCAUGAUAAUUAAUUGAAAGGUGCAAUUGCACCACUACCAGAUGGACCUUCGUUGUAUUAGCUAGUAGGUGAGGUAACGGCUCACCUAGGCGACGAUACAUAGCCGACCUGAGAGGGUGAUCGGCCACACUGGGACUGAGACACGGCCCAGACUCCUACGGGAGGCAGCAGUAGGGAAUCUUCGGCAAUGGACGAAAGUCUGACCGAGCAACGCCGCGUGAGUGAAGAAGGUUUUCGGAUCGUAAAGCUCUGUUGUAAGAGAAGAACGGGUGUGAGAGUGGAAAGUUCACACUGUGACGGUAUCUUACCAGAAAGGGACGGCUAACUACGUG
RNAcentral lists this ribosomal RNA (505 nucleotides) under uncultured bacterium. RNAcentral describes it as "partial 16S ribosomal RNA". It matches the Rfam family "Bacterial small subunit ribosomal RNA", at positions 28 to 507 of the family's 1533-position model. The record is from RNAcentral.